CACGGGGGGAGCAAGCGUUGUUCGGAAUCACUGGGCGUAAAGGGUUCGUAGGCGGUGUGGCAAGUCGGGAGUGAAAUUUCUGGGCUCAACUCAGAGACUGCUUCCGAAACUGCUGUGCUGGAGUGUGGGAGAGGCGCGUGGAAUUGCAGGUGUAGCGGUGAAAUGCGUAGAUAUCUGCAGGAACACCCGUGGCGAAAGCGGCGCGCUAGACCACUACUGACGCUGAGGAACGAAAGCUAGGGGAGCAAACAGG
RNAcentral lists this ribosomal RNA (253 nucleotides) under uncultured bacterium. Its description in RNAcentral is "partial 16S ribosomal RNA". It matches the Rfam family "Bacterial small subunit ribosomal RNA", at positions 524 to 776 of the family's 1533-position model. The record is from RNAcentral.